UACAGAGGGGGCAAGCGUUGUUCGGAAUUACUGGGCGUAAAGGGCGCGUAGGCGGCCCGCUAAGUCGAACGUGAAAUCCCCGGGCUCAACCCGGGAACUGCGUCCGAUACUGGAAGGCUUGAAUUCGGGAGAGGGAUGCGGAAUUCCAGGUGUAGCGGUGAAAUGCGUAGAUAUCUGGAGGAACACCGGUGGCGAAGGCGGCAUCCUGGACCGGCAUUGACGCUGAGGCGCGAAAGCCAGGGGAGCAAACGGG
Molecule: ribosomal RNA, 253 nt
Filed under: uncultured bacterium
Lineage: Bacteria
Description: partial 16S ribosomal RNA
Rfam family: Bacterial small subunit ribosomal RNA
Source: RNAcentral